UUAAGUUAUUAAGGGCGCACGGUGGAUGCCUUGGCACUAGAAGCCGAUGAAGGACGUUACUAACGACGAUAUGCUUUGGGGAGCUGUAAGUAAGCUUUGAUCCAGAGAUUUCCGAAUGGGGAAACCCAGCAUGAGUUAUGUCAUGUUAUCGAUAUGUGAAUACAUAGCAUAUCAGAAGGCACACCCGGAGAACUGAAACAUCUUAGUACCCGGAGGAAGAGAAAGAAAAUUCGAUUCCCUUAGUAGCGGCGAGCGAAACGGGAAGAGCCCAAACCAACAAGCUUGCUUGUUGGGGUUGUAGGACACUCUAUACGGAGUUACAAAGGACGACAUUAGACGAAUCAUCUGGAAAGAUGAAUCAAAGAAGGUAAUAAUCCUGUAGUCGAAAAUGUUGUCUCUCUUGAGUGGAUCCUGAGUACGACGGAGCACGUGAAAUUCCGUCGGAAUCUGGGAGGACCAUCUCCUAAGGCUAAAUACUCUCUAGUGACCGAUAGUGAACCAGUACCGUGAGGGAAAGGUGAAAAGCACCCCGGAAGGGGAGUGAAAUAGAACCUGAAACCGUGUGCUUACAAGUAGUCAGAGCCCGUUAAUGGGUGAUGGCGUGCCUUUUGUAGAAUGAACCGGCGAGUUACGAUUUGAUGCAAGGUUAAGCAGUAAAUGUGGAGCCGUAGCGAAAGCGAGUCUGAAUAGGGCGUUUAGUAUUUGGUCGUAGACCCGAAACCAGGUGAUCUACCCUUGGUCAGGUUGAAGUUCAGGUAACACUGAAUGGAGGACCGAACCGACUUACGUUGAAAAGUGAGCGGAUGAACUGAGGGUAGCGGAGAAAUUCCAAUCGAACCUGGAGAUAGCUGGUUCUCUCCGAAAUAGCUUUAGGGCUAGCCUCAAGUGAUGAUUAUUGGAGGUAGAGCACUGUUUGGACGAGGGGCCCCUCUCGGGUUACCGAAUUCAGACAAACUCCGAAUGCCAAUUAAUUUAACUUGGGAGUCAGAACAUGGGUGAUAAGGUCCGUGUUCGAAAGGGAAACAGCCCAGACCACCAGCUAAGGUCCCAAAAUAUAUGUUAAGUGGAAAAGGAUGUGGCGUUGCCCAGACAACUAGGAUGUUGGCUUAGAAGCAGCCAUCAUUUAAAGAGUGCGUAAUAGCUCACUAGUCGAGUGACACUGCGCCGAAAAUGUACCGGGGCUAAACAUAUUACCGAAGCUGUGGAUUGUCCUUUGGACAAUGGUAGGAGAGCGUUCUAAGGGCGUUGAAGCAUGAUCGUAAGGACAUGUGGAGCGCUUAGAAGUGAGAAUGCCGGUGUGAGUAGCGAAAGACGGGUGAGAAUCCCGUCCACCGAUUGACUAAGGUUUCCAGAGGAAGGCUCGUCCGCUCUGGGUUAGUCGGGUCCUAAGCUGAGGCCGACAGGCGUAGGCGAUGGAUAACAGGUUGAUAUUCCUGUACCACCUAUAAUCGUUUUAAUCGAUGGGGGGACGCAGUAGGAUAGGCGAAGCGUGCGAUUGGAUUGCACGUCUAAGCAGUAAGGCUGAGUAUUAGGCAAAUCCGGUACUCGUUAAGGCUGAGCUGUGAUGGGGAGAAGACAUUGUGUCUUCGAGUCGUUGAUUUCACACUGCCGAGAAAAGCCUCUAGAUAGAAAAUAGGUGCCCGUACCGCAAACCGACACAGGUAGUCAAGAUGAGAAUUCUAAGGUGAGCGAGCGAACUCUCGUUAAGGAACUCGGCAAAAUGACCCCGUAACUUCGGGAGAAGGGGUGCUCUUUAGGGUUAACGCCCAGAAGAGCCGCAGUGAAUAGGCCCAAGCGACUGUUUAUCAAAAACACAGGUCUCUGCUAAACCGUAAGGUGAUGUAUAGGGGCUGACGCCUGCCCGGUGCUGGAAGGUUAAGAGGAGUGGUUAGCUUCUGCGAAGCUACGAAUCGAAGCCCCAGUAAACGGCGGCCGUAACUAUAACGGUCCUAAGGUAGCGAAAUUCCUUGUCGGGUAAGUUCCGACCCGCACGAAAGGCGUAACGAUUUGGGCACUGUCUCAACGAGAGACUCGGUGAAAUCAUAGUACCUGUGAAGAUGCAGGUUACCCGCGACAGGACGGAAAGACCCCGUGGAGCUUUACUGUAGCCUGAUAUUGAAAUUCGGCACAGCUUGUACAGGAUAGGUAGGAGCCUUUGAAACGUGAGCGCUAGCUUACGUGGAGGCGCUGGUGGGAUACUACCCUAGCUGUGUUGGCUUUCUAACCCGCACCACUUAUCGUGGUGGGAGACAGUGUCAGGCGGGCAGUUUGACUGGGGCGGUCGCCUCCUAAAAGGUAACGGAGGCGCUCAAAGGUUCCCUCAGAAUGGUUGGAAAUCAUUCAUAGAGUGUAAAGGCAUAAGGGAGCUUGACUGCGAGACCUACAAGUCGAGCAGGGUCGAAAGACGGACUUAGUGAUCCGGUGGUUCCGCAUGGAAGGGCCAUCGCUCAACGGAUAAAAGCUACCCCGGGGAUAACAGGCUUAUCUCCCCCAAGAGUUCACAUCGACGGGGAGGUUUGGCACCUCGAUGUCGGCUCAUCGCAUCCUGGGGCUGUAGUCGGUCCCAAGGGUUGGGCUGUUCGCCCAUUAAAGCGGUACGCGAGCUGGGUUCAGAACGUCGUGAGACAGUUCGGUCCCUAUCCGUCGUGGGCGUAGGAAAUUUGAGAGGAGCUGUCCUUAGUACGAGAGGACCGGGAUGGACAUACCUCUGGUGUACCAGUUGUCGUGCCAACGGCAUAGCUGGGUAGCUAUGUGUGGACGGGAUAAGUGCUGAAAGCAUCUAAGUAUGAAGCCCCCCUCAAGAUGAGAUUUCCCAACUUCGGUUAUAAGAUCCCUCAAAGAUGAUGAGGUUAAUAGGUUCGAGGUGGAAGCAUGGUGACA
RNAcentral lists this ribosomal RNA (2880 nucleotides) under Staphylococcus aureus M1028. RNAcentral's name for it is "bacterial LSU rRNA". It matches the Rfam family "Bacterial large subunit ribosomal RNA". Lineage: Bacteria; Bacillati; Bacillota; Bacilli; Caryophanales; Staphylococcaceae. The record is from RNAcentral.